AGAAGCCGGACUUAUGGUUGGCUUAUAAAUGAGAUUUGAUUUCAUUUUCAUUUUUUUGUGCUGGUUUUGUUUUAUAUAUUACAGACACAAUAAGUUUGAGCACAUGUCUAUGUAAGUUUCAUGGAGAUAUAGUUGGCAUAUAACAUUGUGUAAGCAUGGGAAUGCACCACUGAAAUAAUCCGCGGAGGGACUGCAGUUGCUGCUCUUUUGGAUUCACCAUAUUUGUGUCAGGACUAUGAUUCUUGAAGAAUGUUCCCAGCCAAUGACUGAACAUGGCAAGAGUACAAAUGGAGGAUAAUUCUGGC
Molecule: long non-coding RNA, 305 nt
Organism: Myotis davidii
Lineage: Eukaryota; Metazoa; Chordata; Mammalia; Chiroptera; Vespertilionidae
Exons: 4
Source: RefSeq, a predicted model, not a curated record